AUUGAACGCUGGCGGCAUGCCUUACACAUGCAAGUCGAACGGCAGCACGGGUGCUUGCACCUGGUGGCGAGUGGCGAACGGGUGAGUAAUACAUCGGAACAUGUCCUGUAGUGGGGGAUAGCCCGGCGAAAGCCGGAUUAAUACUGCAUACGAUCCACGGAUGAAAGCGGGGGACCUUCGGGCCUCGCGCUAUAGGGUUGGCCGAUGGCUGAUUAGCUAGUUGGUGGGGUAAAGGCCUACCAAGGCGACGAUCAGUAGCUGGUCUGAGAGGACGACCAGCCACACUGGGACUGAGACACGGCCCAGACUCCUACGGGAGGCAGCAGUGGGGAAUUUUGGACAAUGGGCGAAAGCCUGAUCCAGCAAUGCCGCGUGUGUGAAGAAGGCCUUCGGGUUGUAAAGCACUUUUGUCCGGAAAGAAAUCCUUGACUCUAAUACAGUCGGGGGAUGACGGUACCGGAAGAAUAAGCACCGGCUAACUACAUG
Molecule: ribosomal RNA, 486 nt
Filed under: uncultured bacterium
Lineage: Bacteria
Description: partial 16S ribosomal RNA
Rfam family: Bacterial small subunit ribosomal RNA
Source: RNAcentral